CUCACCUGUCUCGAGGUUGAAGGAGAUGCGGGCCUCAGCGAGGUAGGGGGUGUCGCUCUUGGAGCGGACGCGGCGGAUGGGUCUGCGGUCGAUGUCCUCCUCGGAAGAUGCCGCCAUUAAUGUGGGCACGGCUUCACCUUGAUAACAGCAACGUGUGAGGGAGACGUAUAUCCAAGUGGUUUCCUUCAGACCUGUUACUGAAAUAACUCAUACCAAAUGUUUGAAGUUUUGGAACGGUAAGGUACGUCCUCGAGGGAACCAGGCCUGGACAAUGAAGAUGAUAUGAAGUGAAAGUGAUAUUGCCAUUUACCAGAAAGGACAGAUCCUCUAUUGAUAGACACCGUUCAGCACACUAAAGAAGAAUCCUGUACAGACACCUUUAAGAUCAAUUGUCCCUUUAUCCUCAUGGAGACAUGCAAAAGACAAAUUGGCGUGGUCAGACUGUUGUUCUCUUGUUGUUAGUGGUGCUGGGCAGAUGCUCAUGAUGAAGGCUCAACCAGAAUAGUCCUGACUGAGGC
This is a long non-coding RNA of Falco peregrinus (peregrine falcon), 518 nucleotides long. RefSeq lists it as uncharacterized. The transcript has 3 exons. Lineage: Eukaryota; Metazoa; Chordata; Aves; Falconiformes; Falconidae. The record is from RefSeq and is a predicted model, not a curated record.